CCUACGGGUGACAGCAGUGAGGAAUAUUGGUCAAUGGACGAGAGUCUGAACCAGCCAAGUAGCGUGAAGGAUGACUGCCCUAUGGGUUGUAAACUUCUUUUAUAUGGGAAUAAAAUGUUCCACGUGUGGGAUUUUGUAUGUACCAUAUGAAUAAGGAUCGGCUAACUCCGUGCCAGCAGCCGCGGUAAUACGGAGGAUCCGAGCGUUAUCCGGAUUUAUUGGGUUUAAAGGGAGCGUAGGUGGAUUGUUAAGUCAGUUGUGAAAGUUUGCGGCUCAACCGUAAAAUUGCAGUUGAAACUGGCAGUCUUGAGUACAGUAGAGGUGGGCGGAAUUCGUGGGGUAGCGGUGAAAUGCUUAGAUAUCACGAAGAACUCCGAUUGCGAAGGCAGUUCACUGGACUGCAACUGACACUGAGGCUCGAAAGUGUGGGUAUCAAACAGGAUUAGAUACCCCUGUAGUC
RNAcentral lists this ribosomal RNA (460 nucleotides) under uncultured bacterium. RNAcentral describes it as "partial 16S ribosomal RNA". It matches the Rfam family "Bacterial small subunit ribosomal RNA", at positions 338 to 795 of the family's 1533-position model. The record is from RNAcentral.